Molecule: ribosomal RNA, 464 nt
Filed under: Microcystis aeruginosa V-08
Lineage: Bacteria; Bacillati; Cyanobacteriota; Cyanophyceae; Chroococcales; Microcystaceae
Description: partial 16S ribosomal RNA
Source: RNAcentral
CCAUCGUUUACGGCUAGGACUACAGGGGUAUCUAAUCCCUUUCGCUCCCCUAGCUUUCGUCCCUGAGUGUCAGAUACAGCCCAGUAGCACGCUUUCGCCACCGAUGUUCUUCCCAAUCUCUACGCAUUUCACCGCUACACUGGGAAUUCCUGCUACCCCUACUGCUCUCUAGUCUGCCAGUUUCCACCGCCUUUAGGUCGUUAAGCAACCUGAUUUGACGGCAGACUUGGCUGACCACCUGCGGACGCUUUACGCCCAAUAAUUCCGGAUAACGCUUGCCUCCCCCGUAUUACCGCGGCUGCUGGCACGGAGUUAGCCGAGGCUGAUUCCUCAAGUACCGUCAGAACUUCUUCCUUGAGAAAAGAGGUUUACAAUCCAAAGACCUUCCUCCCUCACGCGGCGUUGCUCCGUCAGGCUUUCGCCCAUUGCGGAAAAUUCCCCACUGCUGCCUCCCGUAGGAGUCU